GCCGGGGUGGCGGAAUGGUAGACGCGGCGGACUCAAAAUCCGUUGGGCGCAAGCCCGUGGGGGUUCGAGUCCCCCUCCCGGUA
This 83-nucleotide transfer RNA is filed under the name Acidimicrobiia bacterium. RNAcentral describes it as "tRNA-Leu". It matches the Rfam family "tRNA". Rfam says of the family: Transfer RNA (tRNA) molecules are approximately 80 nucleotides in length. Lineage: Bacteria; Bacillati; Actinomycetota; Acidimicrobiia. The record is from RNAcentral.